Molecule: ribosomal RNA, 484 nt
Filed under: uncultured bacterium
Lineage: Bacteria
Description: partial 16S ribosomal RNA
Rfam family: Bacterial small subunit ribosomal RNA
Source: RNAcentral
AUUGAACGCUGGCGGCAUGCUUUACACAUGCAAGUCGAGCGGCAGCACGGGGGCAACCCUGGUGGCGAGCGGCGAACGGGUGAGUAAUACAUCGGAACAUGCCCAGUCGUGGGGGAUAACACUUCGAAAGAAGUGCUAAUACCGCAUACGUCCUGAGGGAGAAAGCGGGGGAUCGCAAGACCUCGCGCGAUUGGAGUGGCCGAUGUCAGAUUAGCUAGUUGGUGGGGUAAAGGCCUACCAAGGCAACGAUCUGUAGCUGGUCUGAGAGGAUGAUCAGCCACACUGGGACUGAGACACGGCCCAGACUCCUACGGGAGGCAGCAGUGGGGAAUGUUGGACAAUGGGGGCAACCCUGAUCCAGCCAUUCCGCGUGAGUGAAGAAGGCCUUCGGGUUGUAAAGCUCUUUCGGCAGGAACGAAACGGCGAGCUCUAACAUAGCUUGCUAAUGACGGUACCUGAAGAAGAAGCACCGGCUAACUACGUG